AGGGAAGGUUUAAUUUGUGUUAUCAAUAAAAUAAUAAAAGGGUGCAACCACCUGUACGCCUUCAUUUUCAAGGGAGGGGAAGGGAGUCGUCGCAGAUAACGAUUGUACGUGGUCGUACAUAAUAAUAUUAUGCCGAGUGAAAUUGCCCAUUAUGUUUGGGUAAACGAUGCAGCGGCUCACCUAUAGGUAUAAAAUACGUAUAUA
Cinara cedri is the source of this 204-nucleotide non-coding RNA. Lineage: Eukaryota; Metazoa; Arthropoda; Insecta; Hemiptera; Aphididae. The record is from the annotation of a GenBank genome assembly.